UCUUGUAGGUGUCCGAGAAGUUUUUCCCUCAGUUAGCCGUUGGAUUUCAGGACCCUCGCGUCCACCUUCAUGUCGGUGAUGCUACUGAAUUCUUAAGGCUUGCACCUAAAGGGAAGUAUGAUGCUGUAAUUGUUGAUUCGUCAGACCCUGUCGGUCCUGCCCAAGAGCUUGUAGAGAAGCUAUUUUUUGAGACAAUAGCUAGAGCAUUUAUGCCUGGUGGUGUUCUCUGUAACAUGACAGAGAGCAUGUGGCUCCACACGCAUCUUAUUCAAGAUAUGAUCUCUGUUUGCCGUCAAACAUUCAAGGGGUCUGUCAAUUAUGCUUGGGCGAGUGUUCCUACGUAUCCAAGGAAUACUUUCCCUUUCUCGCAUUCGUCUACUCUCG
Non-coding RNA from Malus domestica (apple), 384 nucleotides. The record is from RefSeq and is a predicted model, not a curated record. NCBI's taxonomy places the organism in Eukaryota, Viridiplantae, Streptophyta, Magnoliopsida, Rosales, Rosaceae.